UGGGGAAUUUUGGACAAUGGGGGCAACCCUGAUCCAGCAAUGCCGCGUGUGUGAAGAAGGCCUUCGGGUUGUAAAGCACUUUUGUCCGGAAAGAAAACGCCGUGGUUAAUACCCGUGGCGGAUGACGGUACCGGAAGAAUAAGCACCGGCUAACUACGUGCCAGCAGCCGCGGUAAUAUGUAGGGUGCAAGCGUUAAUCGGAAUUACUGGGCGUAAAGCGUGCGCAGGCGGUCCGCUAAGACAGAUGUGAAAUCCCCGAGCUUAACCUGGGAACUGCAUUUGUGACUGGCGGGCUAGAGUAUGGCAGAGGGGGGUAGAAUUCCACGUGUAGCAGUGAAAUGCGUAGAGAUGUGGAGGAAUACCGAUGGCGAAGGCAGCCCCCUGGGCCAAUACUGACGCUCAUGCACGAAAGCGUGGGGAGCAAACAGGAUUAGAUACCCCUGGUAGUCCACGCCCUAAACGAUGUCAACUAGUUGUCGGGUCUUCAUUGACUUGGUAACGUAGCUAACGCGUGAAGUUGACCGCCUGGGGGAGUACGGUCGCAAGAUUAAAAACUCAAAUGAAUUGAC
Molecule: ribosomal RNA, 569 nt
Filed under: uncultured bacterium
Lineage: Bacteria
Description: partial 16S ribosomal RNA
Rfam family: Bacterial small subunit ribosomal RNA
Source: RNAcentral